ACGUAGUUGUACUCCGUGGCUACAAGAACGAACGCUGGCGGCGCGCCUAACACAUGCAAGUCGAACGAGAAUCCGGGGCAACCCGGUAGUAAAGUGGCAAGCGGGUGAGGAAUACAUGGGUAACCUACCCUUGAGAAGGGAAUAACCCGCCGAAAGGUGAGCUAAUACCCUAUACGCUAUCUUUUUUUCGAAAAGGAUAGGAAAGCCGGGUCGAGGACCUGGUACUCAAGGAGGGGCUCAUGUCCUAUCAGCUUGUUGGUGGGGUAACGGCCUACCAAGGCUACGACGGGUAGCUGGUCUGAGAGGAUGAUCAGCCACACUGGCACUGAGAUACGGGCCAGACUCCUACGGGAGGCAGCAGUGAGGAAUAUUGCACAAUGGGCGAAAGCCUGAUGCAGCAACGCCGCGUGAGGGACGACGGCCUUCGGGUUGUAAACCUCUUUUAGCAAGGAAGAAGCGAAAGUGACGGUACUUGCAGAAAAAGCGCCGGCUAACUACGUG
This 501-nucleotide ribosomal RNA is filed under the name uncultured bacterium. Its description in RNAcentral is "bacterial SSU rRNA". It matches the Rfam family "Bacterial small subunit ribosomal RNA", at positions 26 to 507 of the family's 1533-position model. The record is from RNAcentral.